Molecule: ribosomal RNA, 421 nt
Filed under: uncultured eukaryote
Lineage: Eukaryota
Description: SSU rRNA
Rfam family: Eukaryotic small subunit ribosomal RNA
Source: RNAcentral
CAAUAGCGUAUAUUAAAGUUGUUGCAGUUAAAAAGCUCGUAGUUGGAUUUGUGGCGUACGGUGUGUUCCGGGCACUUGUUGUCUGAGUAACCUGCCGUUGCCAUCCUUGGGUGGAACCUGUGUGGCAUUAGGUUGUCGUGCAGGGGAUGCCCAUCAUUUACUGUGAAAAAUUAGAGUGUUCAAAGCAGGCUUAUGCCUCUGAAUAUAUUAGCAUGGAAUAAUGAUAUAGGACCUUGGUACUAUUUUGUUGGUUUGCGCACUGAGGUAAUGAUUAAGAGGGACAGUUGGGGGUAUUUGUAUUCCAUUGUCAGAGGUGAAAUUCUUGGAUUUUUGGAAGACAAACUACUGCGAAAGCAUUUACCAAGGAUGUUUUCAUUAAUCAAGAACGAAAGUUAGGGGAUCGAAGAUGAUUAGAUACCGU